This 916-nucleotide long non-coding RNA is filed under the name Homo sapiens (human). RNAcentral's name for it is "HSALNT0052238". The record is from RNAcentral. Lineage: Eukaryota; Metazoa; Chordata; Mammalia; Primates; Hominidae.
AGAUGUGGAGUUGGGGGACAUAAGACUCAAAGAGUCCUAACAAAAUAGUCCUCAUUUUUAUUUCAUCAGAACCCCAGCCUUCUUCAGCAGCAUGGAAGUAUCUGCAGAAAUGGCUUUGCCUGCAUCUUUUUGAGAAUAAGAGAAGCAGAGGAAGGUUAAACAUGCAAAUGAUGCUGCAAAAUUUAUUACUGUAGAUGCAUCUAAAUUCCCAGGCAACUGCUUUAGGGGACACCUGGCUACUCAGAAUCAAAGAAAGUAAGCAUGAAAAGAAACUGGCAGUGUCCCAGUAAACACACUAGUCUUGGGCUCCCUGCCUGAAAGAAAUCAGGCAACAUAGAAAGACGAUUUAAAGGCUCAGUUGCUAACCUCAGCCUGAGGAACCUUGUGUUGGCUGUCCUCACCACGUCUCAAGCUAGGCAUCUCAUGCCACGGAGGAGCCAAUAAAAGACUUCUUCGGAGGACAGUUUUGAACCGGAGAGCCUCCAACAUCUCAGAGAUUCAUGAACACAGUUUCGAAGAACAAUUAGGUUUCCAGGUGGUGACGCACCCUCUUCUUGAACACCUUCAACUGCAGUAAUCCACAAGGGCCAGGGUUGUGACCCAGAAAUUUCAUCAAUAGGAUGUUCUUCCCUCUUCUAGUCCCUUGCAAUCUGUACAUUGAUUAUCUUGAGUAGAAAGGUUGAAUAAACAGAAUGAAGAAUCAUUACAUUAUGCCUACGAAAAUUUUUCAGCUGGUAUGCGACGGCGCAAUCUUGGCUCACAGCAACCUCCGCCUACCAGGUUCAAGUGAUUGUCCUGCCUCAGCCUCCCGACCUCAGGUGAUCUGCCCGACUCAGCCUCCCAAAGUGCUGGGAUUACAGGCGUGAGCCACCAUGCCUGGCCUACUUUCAUUUAACAAUACUUAACACUAGAAAAU